CCUACGGGUGGCAGCAGUGAGGAAUCUUGGUCAAUGGACGAGAGUCUGAACCAGCCAAGUAGCGUGAAGGAUGACUGCCCUAUGGGUUGUAAACUUCUUUUAUCAAGGAAUAAAACGAGGCUCGUUAGCCUUUUUGCAUUUACUUUAUGAAUACGGAUCUGAUAACUCCGUUCCCGAAGCCGCGGUAAUAAUGAGGGUGCGAGCUUUAUCCGGAUGUAUUGGGUUUAAAGGGAGCGUAGAUGGGUUGUUAAGUCAGUUGUGAAAGUUUGCGGCGCAACCGUAAAAUGGCAAUGGAUACUGGCAGUCUUGAGGAUAGUUGAGGGAGGCGGAAGUCGUGGUGUAGCGGUGAAAUGCUUAGAGAUCACGAAGAACCCCGAUUGCGAAGGCAGCUUACUAAACUGUGACUGACAUUGAUGCUCGAAAGUGUGGGUAUCAAACAGGAUUAGAGACCCUAGUAGUC
This 460-nucleotide ribosomal RNA is filed under the name uncultured bacterium. Its description in RNAcentral is "partial 16S ribosomal RNA". It matches the Rfam family "Bacterial small subunit ribosomal RNA", at positions 338 to 795 of the family's 1533-position model. The record is from RNAcentral.